Helianthus annuus (common sunflower) is the source of this 1888-nucleotide long non-coding RNA. RefSeq lists it as uncharacterized. The transcript is spliced from 10 exons. The record is from RefSeq and is a predicted model, not a curated record. Lineage: Eukaryota; Viridiplantae; Streptophyta; Magnoliopsida; Asterales; Asteraceae.
UUUUCCCGCCAUUUUUUUCAAUUUCUUCAUCUUCAUAUGAAACCCGAUGCGGGAUCCAUUUACACUAUUCGGGUCAUUUGGGUACUUCCAUAUUUAAAGCUCGAAACCGUUGAUUUGUUUCAAUUCUCUCUCUCUUCUUUCAUACGUUUCUCUCUUUUCCUUCUGCAUCUCUCAAUAUGCUCUUGGAGACAUCUUCAAUAUCAAGAUCGGAAGUUGCGGCAGAUGCAGAGUGUUUUACAAGAGGUUUCUCAAGCCUCUCUCCCUCUGCUCUCUACUCUUCAUAGAUCUGCAUAUAAUCCAUCCGAUUCAAGGUUAGAUCUAUGUUUUUCUAGGGUUCCAUAACAAUCGAUCUGAUUACAACUACAUCAAGGUGAGUCGAUUCUUGGCUUGAAACAGUGAUCUACCUUCGUUUGAAAAUGUAACGUUGCUUGACUUAUCUAAAUCUGUUAUUUUUCAUCAUCUGAAUCGAUAAACUGUUGAUUUGAUUUACAAUAACCCAUCGGUGAUUAAUUUGUUUUUUUUGGAUCUUCUAAAUGUUUGUUGAGAUGUAUGAUUAGUUUUUCAAGUUUCUGCACUAUUGGCCUUCCAAUCAGAAUGUCAACGAGAACUCUUAUUAUUAGCAGCUCUUACAUUUGAUUCUCUUGAAAUAUGAAAAAACCCAUUAAUGGAUAGCAUCAACAACCAGUGUUUACACUGUAUAUAUAUAUAGGUGGUUCUCACUAUUGUCGAUUUUGUUCGAGCGAGUUUGACUUCCCAUGGGGACUAUCAGCAACACUCUUGGAGUUUGGUAAUAUCAAGUCUCCAAUGUACUCAAGACUUCCUCAGUAUUGACACCACUGCUGCCAUUGGUGAUCGAUGACGGUAGUUGAGUCGAGUAGAAGAUCAAGUGUGGUUCAAGCAACACUAUCGGAGAGAUGUGGGUAUCAUUCACAGGGAAUUCCGACUCUUUUUUUCGACGCCAUCAAUUACCUAAUUCACAUGAAAAAUCUAUGGAUCAAGGUUCUAAGUUUCUAUUAAAUACUCUAGAAAGGUCCCUCUUGCGGGUUAGAUUACGGCUCGGAUUCUUGGUUAGCUUGCAACUGACAUUUCAUGGAUCAGAUCGCCACAUGGAGUUUUAGUCAGCUGUAACGAUUCAGGAGUUUUGGUCAGCUGUAUCGGGUCAGGUUACAUAUUAGUUGCAACUAUCAUCCUAAUACAUAUUCAGCAAGUACAUUGAAAUUCGGGUGGCCGCAGGCAGUCAAUUUUAAUCAUCUGCGCUAUUACUAUGCAACUAUUUUUGCUUCAAGGAUUAAGGCUCUUGAUGUUUGAUUUUGGAGUUAUACGUGCAAUUUUUGCUUGCAAUUUAGUUUAAGAAACCUUUAAAAACUAAAGGUUGGCUUGGUUUACGGGCUGAUAUCGACCAUUGUUCUAAGUUUCUAUUAAAUAGUCUAGAAAGGUCCCUCUUGCGGGUUAGACCACGGGUUGGAUUCUUGGUUAGCUUGCAGCUGACAUUUCAUGGAUCAGAUCGCCACAUAGAGUUCUGGUCAACUGUAACGAUUCAGGAGUUUUGGUUAGAUGUAUCGGGUCAGAUUACAUAUUAGUUGUAACUAUCAUCCUAAUACAUAUUCAGCAAGUACAUUGAAACAUUCAGGUAAAGGGUAAAUAUAGGGGUUGCUGGUUCAUCUUGAAUGAGAGGCGAAGUUUUACUAAUUAUUUCACUGUCGUGCCUUGGGACGGCUGGAUUUCGGGUUUCGGCGUAUCUGGAAGAGCCAAGAGGCUGGCGGCGGUUGAGUAGUCGACCUUGGCCACAACGACCGGUGUCACGGUGAUUGGCGCGUCGUUCAUAUCGUUCAAAAAAAAACCUAUAUUCACUAAUCUUAAAAGUCAGAGUUGUAUAUAUUAGUAUUUU